UCCGGCUUAUCACCGGCAGUCCCCCUAGAGUGCCCAACUUAAUGCUGGCAACUAAACACAGGGGUUGCGCUCGUUGAGGGACUUAACCCGACAUGCCACCACACGAGCUGACGACAGCCAUGCAGCACUGUCUCUUUGUUGUAUUGCUACAAAAGUGUGAUCUCUCACAUUGUCAAAGGAUGUCAAACCUAGGUAAGGUUCUGCGCGUUGCUUCGAAUUAAACCACAUAAUCCACCGCUUGUGCGGGCUCCCGUCAAUUCCUUUGAGUUUUAGUCUUGCGACCGUACUUCCCAGGCGGGGUACUUAUUGCGUUAGCUCCGGAUCGGCAGGGGUCAACUCCCACCAAUCCUAGUACCCAUCGUUUACAGCGUGGACUAC
RNAcentral lists this unclassified non-coding RNA (378 nucleotides) under uncultured Oligoflexales bacterium. RNAcentral's name for it is "contains 16S-23S intergenic spacer region". Lineage: Bacteria; Pseudomonadati; Bdellovibrionota; Oligoflexia; Oligoflexales. The record is from RNAcentral.